Molecule: ribosomal RNA, 254 nt
Filed under: uncultured prokaryote
Description: partial 16S ribosomal RNA
Rfam family: Bacterial small subunit ribosomal RNA
Source: RNAcentral
UACGGAGGAUGCGAGCGUUAUCCGGAUUUAUUGGGUUUAAAGGGUGCGUUGGCGGAUUAAUAAGUCAGUGGUGAAAUCCUGCAGCUUAACUGUGGAACUGCCAUUGAUACUGUUAGUCUUGAGUAUGGUCAAGGUAGGCGGAAUGUGUAAUGUAGCGGUGAAAUGCUUAGAUAUUACACAGAACACCGAUUGCGAAGGCAGCUUACUGGGCCAUUACUGACGCUGAUGCACGAAAGCGUGGGGAUCGAACAGGA